GAUGAACGCUGGCGGCGUGCCUAAUACAUGCAAGUCGAGCGAACGGACGAGAAGCUUGCUUCUCUGAUGUUAGCGGCGGACGGGUGAGUAACACGUGGAUAACCUACCUAUAAGACUGGGAUAACUUCGGGAAACCGGAGCUAAUACCGGAUAAUAUUUUGAACCGCAUGGUUCAAAAGUGAAAGACGGUCUUGCUGUCACUUAUAGAUGGAUCCGCGCUGCAUUAGCUAGUUGGUAAGGUAACGGCUUACCAAGGCAACGAUGCAUAGCCGACCUAAGAGGGUGGUCGGCCACACUGGAACUGAGACACGGUCCAGACUCCUACGGGAGGCAGCAGUAGGGAAUCUUCCGCAAUGGGCGAAAGCCUGACGGAGCAACGCCGCGUGAGUGAUGAAGGUCUUCGGAUCGUAAAACUCUGUUAUUAGGGAAGAACAUAUGUGUAAGUAACUGUGCACAUCUUGACGGUACCUAAUCAGAAAGCCACGGCUAACUACGUG
RNAcentral lists this ribosomal RNA (497 nucleotides) under uncultured bacterium. RNAcentral describes it as "partial 16S ribosomal RNA". It matches the Rfam family "Bacterial small subunit ribosomal RNA", at positions 28 to 507 of the family's 1533-position model. The record is from RNAcentral.